This 489-nucleotide long non-coding RNA is filed under the name Panax ginseng (ginseng). Its description in RNAcentral is "long non-coding RNA (PGIN_LNC007674)". Lineage: Eukaryota; Viridiplantae; Streptophyta; Magnoliopsida; Apiales; Araliaceae. The record is from RNAcentral.
ACCAUGCCUAUGACUGUGCAAGUCAAUAGUAGAAAGAAAAAUAGCAUAUAGGUACACAGUUUAUUAAGGUUGCUAGUGAUAUAGUUUGAAAAGUAUUAUUUUGAAGCACUAAAAUUAACUUCUUGUUGACCACUCCCAUAGGUGAUUUUACAGGACGAAGAAACAUUUCAAAAGAUAAUUAAUGAAUAAAUAAAAUGAUGUAAAAGGAGAUGAUGACAUUUGAUACCAUAAUAUUUUGUGAUACAAAGAGCUACUCUUUCUAUUUUUAGAAAUAAAUUACCAGAUCUUAAGAAACAACACAUGAUUAAAACCACAACAAAACAAACAAACAUCAUCAUAGAGCUAGUCUUUCUAUUUUUAGAAUCACUACAUAAAGAAAAAAGAGUUUCAUCAUUGCAUGUCCAUGUCUUUAGCAAGGACUUACAUUACCUGAAUCAUUUUUAUGUUUUAUCACUAAACUUAAAUGAACCCCAGAAAUGUAUGUAUUAG